Molecule: long non-coding RNA, 1260 nt
Filed under: Panax ginseng (ginseng)
Lineage: Eukaryota; Viridiplantae; Streptophyta; Magnoliopsida; Apiales; Araliaceae
Description: long non-coding RNA (PGIN_LNC008284)
Source: RNAcentral
UCACAUCAAGUGCAAAAUCCCAUAUAAAUUCAAGAAAAACAAAUCUACAAGCUGAGUUUGUUGAGAAAAUAUAUAAAUUCAACAAAUUUAAGUAUUACCCACAAGAAAAACCCAAUCUACUUUGUGGAGGAGAUACCAUGUCACAUUUGUAGCCACUGACAAAUUCCCUGCGAACCUGGUCUUCACAUGAAUAUGAGUCGACGAACGGAUACUUCUUUGAAAGCUAAGUUGGAUUCUUUUGCUAAAAGCUGCGCCCCACUUGGCCCAAAGGCUGCAAUGGCUGGAAGGGGUGUAUUAGGAUAUUCAAACAGGAACACCUGUUCGAGCAGGCUAGUAGAAAAAUCCUGGAUAAAAGAAUGGACCAACCACGGCAUUUCAUGGACGCAAUUGGGGAAGGAAGAUCGCAAUCUAAUGAGAUGUAAAUAAUCUCAAAGCAAUUCUCUCUCUCUGCCUCUAACCGUGAAGAAUAAAUUAGACCACAAUAUCACCCUGCAGGCUGCAAGAGGGAUUCAAAAUUUCAGAAACACAUUCAAAUCAACAUUUAGAGGUCCUUUACUUGUUUUGCUUACACAGUAAGACAAAAUUAAACGAAGAAUAACACAAAUUCAAACACAGAAAAACCCAAAAUUAAGCACAGAAUGACACGAAAUAAUACCAGGCACACUAGCUAAGGCUCCAUCAUAAGAACAAGCAUACCUUCCCGCUGUAGGUAGAAUAGAAGUUUAUCCAACACCAGUGUUCUCUCUAGAUUGCUCGUCAUGAACUUCACAGCAUUUUCCAAGCUAAAAGGAUAUGCAUCGAUCAAGCCCCAAAACGUUGUACAUGUCAAAAGCAAAUUAAGUAAUUCAGAGAUCGAUCAGGCUCAAGAAUAAUACGUGGAAACUCAGUUCGGCUAAGCUAGCACGGCAGUUUUGAGAACACGACACAACUUUCUACCACUUCCUAACAGGGUAUACCAAGGGAUAUUUCCAAAGUGAGACUGUAAUUUAGCACAAUCUCAAAAUCUAUAUCCGGCCUACAUUCCAACGAUUCCCAGAUCCUCUUAAGUUUUCUGGUCCGUUCAAUGCCAGAGUAUGAUUCUUCAUAAAAAUACAGGCCCACAGUCUUGCCUUCAAGCUUUGAGGUUACUUACCUGCAAAGAAAAAAUGUAUACAAGAAUUUAAAAAUUCUCAAAUGAUAGAGAACCUCAAAAUAGAAAAUGGAAGAGUUAACCGCCAAUUAAGACUGCCAUCGGGAGCAAACAUAACAGUUCGAUCUUGC